This 20-nucleotide small nuclear RNA is filed under the name Arabidopsis thaliana (thale cress). RNAcentral's name for it is "snRNA_16991". Lineage: Eukaryota; Viridiplantae; Streptophyta; Magnoliopsida; Brassicales; Brassicaceae. The record is from RNAcentral.
AACCUAGGGCGCGAGCCCGG